This 253-nucleotide ribosomal RNA is filed under the name uncultured bacterium. RNAcentral's name for it is "partial 16S ribosomal RNA". It matches the Rfam family "Bacterial small subunit ribosomal RNA", at positions 524 to 776 of the family's 1533-position model. The record is from RNAcentral.
UACGAAGGGGGCUAGCGUUGCUCGGAAUCACUGGGCGUAAAGGGUGCGUAGGCGGGUAUUUAAGUCAGGGGUGAAAUCCUGGAGCUCAACUCCAGAACUGCCUUUGAUACUGAGUAUCUUGAGUACGGGAGAGGUGAGUGGAACUGCGAGUGUAGAGGUGGAAUUCGUAGAUAUUCGCAAGAACACCAGUGGCGAAGGCGGCUCACUGGCCCGUUACUGACGCUGAGGCACGAAAGCGUGGGGAGCAAACAGG